AUCGCUUCUCGGCUCUCUGAGCUAAGAUCAUGUGUAGUAUCUGUUCUUUGCAGUGUAAUUUCUGCAACAGUCUCUAAACUGAGACCAAUGAAAUUACCUGUAGGCCUCCAAACGCCCU
Small nuclear RNA from Schistosoma mansoni, 118 nucleotides. It matches the Rfam family "U2 spliceosomal RNA". From Rfam's summary of the family: U2 is a small nuclear RNA (snRNA) component of the spliceosome (involved in pre-mRNA splicing). Complementary binding between U2 snRNA (in an area lying towards the 5' end but 3' to hairpin I) and the branchpoint sequence (BPS) of the intron results the bulging out of an unpaired adenosine, on the BPS, which initiates a nucleophilic attack at the intronic 5' splice site, thus starting the first of two transesterification reactions that mediate splicing. Lineage: Eukaryota; Metazoa; Platyhelminthes; Trematoda; Strigeidida; Schistosomatidae. The record is from Rfam.